GAAAGACUGAAUUUUCCAAGAAGCAAUUUUUAUUCUUGCACUAUUGUGCAAAGCCUUCAUUUUGUUAUUGUUGCCAUUGUUGUCGGCUUAGCAGGUGAGCCUCAUUAUUUUUGGAACUUGCCCUUGGAACUGUGCCACCGGGUAAGUCCUUUUCCCUAUUUCUAAACCUGCCCUCGGAACUGUGCCUGCGGGUAGGCUUUUUUCCCUCAGUUAGGAACCCUGCCUUUGCAACUGUGCCAUCAGGCUAGUUCCCUUCCUUGGCUCCUCCUGUAUCUCCUCGGCUCCCCGCAGAAAAAGCUAUCUUGCCUUGAAGAGUCUAGUUUUCUUCUUGUUCUUGACUUUGGGGACUCUGAAGCUGAGGGCAGCGUCAGGGGCAGGGAACACAGGGGAGGGACAGAGUCCUGUCCUGAGGGUUCGUGGGGAAGCUUUCGGCAGGGCAGGGACACUGAGCCACGUUUGCAAGGGGUCAGACGAAGGGCAGGGAGGGGGCCUGAGAUGGGUUGGGCACAAGAUUCUUGGAGGAUGUGCCCACUUGCUGUGGUCUGGUCUCAGCAUGACCUCCUGUGCUGCUUGGUCCUUGCCGAGUCUCCAUAGUCCCCACUGCUCCCCCUGCAGCAUUGUCCCUGUCCUGGGCCCAGGCCCAGCCACCCCGAUGGACACGCCAGUGGAGGAAUCCCUCUUCCAAAUCAUCCACUGCUACCACCAGUACGCGGCCCGGGAGGGGGACGUGGAGACCCUGUGCCCGGAGGAGUUGACGGCCUUUCUUGUGGACAACAUGCCUCGCUUCAUGGAGAGCUUGGGCCGGAAGGAGCCGUACUAUGUCAUAGAGUUGUUCCGGGCAGCAGACAAGGACAAGGACAACCAGAUCUGCUUUGAGGAGUUCCUCUACAUCCUGGGCAAGCUGGUGAAGGACUACCACCUGCAGUGCCACUGGCAGGUGUGUGCCCACUACUGCGCCUGGCACAGUCUUUAUUAGAGGGAGCACGGGCAGCCUCCACACAGGGCUGCCCCGGGAGCAGGUGUGACCGGGCUGUGAGCCCUGCCUUGUGUGUCUGUGGCAAGGACAGCUGUGAGGGAAGAGAAUAAAACAGCUU
This 1094-nucleotide long non-coding RNA is filed under the name Sus scrofa (pig). RNAcentral's name for it is "lncRNA (ENSSSCG00070027989.1)". The record is from RNAcentral. Lineage: Eukaryota; Metazoa; Chordata; Mammalia; Artiodactyla; Suidae.